GUCAGGCAAAGCCACAGGUGAUCCUUCGACGAUGACUCGAUAGAUGACGCAAAGUGGAGUUGCUCUGAUUGAAGUACGGUUUCUUAUUUCUUUUGAAGGAGACGUAGAAACAUCACCUGUACAGUAAAAAAAGAAUCUGUUUGUUAUGUUUAAACUACGACAGGUGAUCUGCCGAUCAACUAAUUGGAAAUUUGAUCGCUGUCCGGAAAGAGAUGUACACUUACUUCGAUAAAUAUCUAAUCUGGUAUAUAGUAUCAAAGUACUGUACUUUCUUCUUCUUAUGCAUUAUUUUUGAAGUACCGAAUUAUAAUGAAAGCCAUCAUAAUAUAAUGUUCAGAAGACUAUUCUCUAUUCUGAAUUUAUGUGAUUGGUCCGAAGAGUUCCGAUUUAUUAUAAUAAAUCUAUAUAUAAAAUAUUAAUUCAUAAAAAAAAAAACUGUAAACGAUAGUUCAGAUUAUUAAUAAAU
This 466-nucleotide long non-coding RNA is filed under the name Androctonus crassicauda. Lineage: Eukaryota; Metazoa; Arthropoda; Arachnida; Scorpiones; Buthidae. The record is from RNAcentral.